This 343-nucleotide ribosomal RNA is filed under the name uncultured bacterium. RNAcentral describes it as "bacterial SSU rRNA". It matches the Rfam family "Bacterial small subunit ribosomal RNA", at positions 8 to 334 of the family's 1533-position model. The record is from RNAcentral.
AGAGUUUGAUUAUGGCUCAGGAUGAACGCUGGCGGCGUGCCUAACACAUGCAAGUCGAACGAAGUUAUAUCGAGGAAGUUUUCGGAUGGAAUCAGUAUAACUUAGUGGCGGACGGGUGAGUAACGCGUGGGAAACCUGCCCUGUACCGGGGGAUAACACUUAGAAAUAGGUGCUAAUACCGCAUAAGCGCACAGCUUCACAUGAAGCAGUGUGAAAAACUCCGGUGGUACAGGAUGGUCCCGCGUCUGAUUAGCCAGUUGGCAGGGUAACGGCCUACCAAAGCGACGAUCAGUAGCCGGCCUGAGAGGGUGAACGGCCACAUUGGGACUGAGACACGGCCCAA